AUUUCUAUAGUUGAAGACAACAGCGGCUCUUCAAGCCGCAGGUCUCAGAUAAAACCUGAGUAGAAAUA
This 68-nucleotide transfer RNA is filed under the name Salmostoma bacalia (large razorbelly minnow). RNAcentral's name for it is "tRNA-Glu". Lineage: Eukaryota; Metazoa; Chordata; Actinopteri; Cypriniformes; Danionidae. The record is from RNAcentral.